This 359-nucleotide ribosomal RNA is filed under the name uncultured bacterium. RNAcentral's name for it is "bacterial SSU rRNA". It matches the Rfam family "Bacterial small subunit ribosomal RNA", at positions 29 to 416 of the family's 1533-position model. The record is from RNAcentral.
AAUGAACGCUGGCGGCAUGCCUAACACAUGCAAGUCGAACGAGACCUUCGGGUCUAGUGGCGCACGGGUGCGUAACGCGUGGGAAUCUGCCCCUUGGUUCGGAAUAACUCAGAGAAAUUUGAGCUAAUACCGGAUAAUGACGUAAGUCCAAAGAUUUAUCGCCUAGGGAUGAGCCCGCGUAGGAUUAGCUAGUUGGUGGGGUAAAAGCCUACCAAGGCGACGAUCCUUAGCGGUCUGAGAGGAUGAUCAGCCACACUGGGACUGAGACACGGCCCAGACUCCUACGGGAGGCAGCAGUGGGGAAUAUUGGACAAUGGGCGAAAGCCUGAUCCAGCAAUGCCGCGUGAGUGAUGAAGGCC